UACAGCGAGCUACUCGCUGUAGCUGCUAUGCCUCUCCCUCUCCAGCUCGCUCCAUCUCCAGGAUUUACAUAGGCUGAUUUCCGUGGGAAGCGCGAAAGCAGCGGAGCCUCCAUGGCAGACUUUCAGGAACGGAGGAAACUACAGAAACGACCCAUCGAAAAGUAUUAACGUCACAGUUUUCUCGCGUUUUCCAACUCGGACACACUACUUGCACUCUAACUGCCGGAUUUAUCGUCUCCUUCAGAUUGUUUAACUCAGGAAACCGUGUGUUUUCUGGGGCUGUGGCGAUGGCCGGUGGCGGCGGGGUGUCGCCGCUGGGGCUAGCACCUCCGUUGUGGUAUCACCGGGACCUGAGUCGCGCUGCUGCCGAGGAGCUGCUGGCCCGCGCGGGACGCGACGGGAGUUUCCUGGUUCGGGACAGCGAAAGUGUUAACGGGGCGUACGCUUUGUGUGUGCUUUUCCAGAAGCAUGUCCACACCUAUAGGGUUCUACCAGAUGAAGAGGGAUUCUUGGCAGUCCAGACAUCUCAGGGGGUGCAGCCGAAGCGGUUUAAGAGCCUCCCAGAGCUGGUACUGUUGUACCUCCAGCCCAGCCAGGGACUGGUCAGCACUCUGCUGUAUCCCGUAGACAGAGAGGAGAGCAUCCCAGAGGACAGGGACUACUCAGAUGGGGAAGAUGAGAAGCCACCACUUCCUCCUCGUUCCGCCUCCACACCACCUACAGGCUCCUCCCCAGAGACACCCACUGACAGCACCCCUGCUGCUAACGGCCUGAGCACCAUUUCCCAUGAGUAUCUGAAGGGAAGCUACGCUCUGGACCUGCAGGCUGUCAAACAGGGAGCCAGCUCUCUGCCCCACCUCAACAAGACACUGGUGUCCUCCUGCAAACGCCUCAACGGGGAGGUGGAUAAGGUUCUGUCUGGGCUGGAGAUCCUGUCCAAGGUGUUUGACCAACAGAGUGCCUUCAUAGUGUCCAAGAUGAUACAGCAGUCGGUGAAUCAGGGUGGAGAUCAGGAGUUGGAGAAUCUGGUUACUAAACUGGCUAUCCUCAAAGACUUACUGUCUUCUAUAGAGAAGAAGGCUCUGAAGGCUGUGCAAGAUAUGAGUUUGUCCACUCUCUCCUCUCCUCCUCCUCUCACACGCCACAGCAAAACCAUCCCUGUACAGGCCUUUGAGGUGAAGUUGGAUGUGUACCUGGCAGACCUGACUAAGAUAGGGAAGAGUCAGAAGCACAGUCUGUCUGUGGACGUGGAGGGAGGGAAGCUAGUGGUGAUGAAGAAGAUGAAGGACAACCAGGAGGACUGGAACACCUUCACACACCACAAGAUCCGUCAGCUGAUAAAGUCUCAACGUGUUCAGAACAAGCUGGGUAUCAUGUUUGAGAAGGACAAGGAGAAGAGCCAGAGGAAAGACUUCAUCUUCGCCAGCGCUAAGAAGCGGGAGGCUUUUUGUCAGCUGCUGCAGCUGAUGAAGAACAAACAUUCCAACCAGGACGAGCCAGACAUGAUCUCCAUCUUUAUAGGGACCUGGAACAUGGGUUCUGUGCCCUCCCCCAAGGCGGUGGGUUCCUGGCUGUUGUGUCGUGGGCUGGGCAAGACGCUGGAUGAGAUGACCGUAACUAUUCCUCAUGACCUCUACGUGUUCGGAACGCAGGAGAACUCUGUGUGUGACCGUGAGUGGGUCGACUCACUCCGCACCGCACUCAAAGAACACACAGAGCUGGAUUACAAACCGAUCGCGGUCCAGACUCUGUGGAACAUUAAGAUAGCGGUGCUGGUGAAACCAGAACAUGAAAACCGCAUCAGUCAUGUGGGAGUGUCCAGUGUUAAAACGGGCAUUGCUAAUACGCUGGGUAACAAAGGGGCAGUUGGUGUGUCUUUCAUGUUUAAUGGAACUUCCUUCGGCUUUGUGAACUGUCACCUGACAUCAGGCAACGAAAAGAUCGCCAGGAGGAACCAGAACUACCUGGAUAUCCUGCGGCUGCUCUCUCUAGGAGAUAAACAGCUGAGCUCCUUUGACAUCUCUCUACGCUUCACACACCUCUUCUGGCUGGGAGACCUCAACUACAGGCUGGACAUGGACAUACAGGAGAUCCUGAACUACAUCAACAGGAAAGAGUUUGAUCCUCUGCUGAAGGUGGACCAGCUCAACCUGGAGAGAGAGAAGAACAAGGUGUUCCUUCGCUUCGCGGAGGAGGAGAUAUCCUACCCACCCACCUACCGUUAUGAACGCGGGUCUAGGGAUACAUACGUGUGGCAGAAACAGAAGGCCACAGGGAUGAGGACUAACGUCCCGUCUUGGUGUGACAGGAUCCUCUGGAAGUCUUACCCUGAGACUCACAUUGUCUGUAACUCCUAUGGCUGUACAGAUGACAUGGUGACCAGUGACCACUCCCCAGUGUUUGGUACGUUUGAGGUGGGGGUCACCUCGCAGUUCGUCUCCAAGAAAGGUCUGCCUAAGUCCUCUGAACAGGCCUAUAUAGAGUUUGAGAAUAUUGAGGCCAUUGUGAAGACGGCCAGCAGAACCAAGUUCUUCAUCGAGUUCUACUCUACCUGCCUGGAGGAGUUUAAGAAGAGUUAUGAGAAUGACAGUCAGAGCAGUGACAACGUCAACUUCCUGCGUGUGGGCUGGACCAAUAAGCAGCUGACCACGCUGAAGCCCCUCCUCUCUGAGAUAGAAUAUCUCCAGGACCAACACCUGCUGCUCACCGUCAAGUCACUGGAUGGAUACGAGUCUUAUGGAGAGUGUGUGGUGGCUCUGAAGUCGAUGAUAGGCAGUACAGCACAGCAGUUCCAUACUUACCUGUCCCACAGAGGGGAGGAGACGGGCAACAUCAGAGGUUCUAUGAGGGUCCGCGUGCCAGCAGAGAGGAUGGGCACCAGGGAGAGGCUCUAUGAGUGGAUCAGUGUGGAUAAAGAUGAGACGGGACCCAAAGGCAGAUCCACUCUGCCCCCCCGAUCAGGACACGACUACGUAAAGCCGUCUUUGACACGCAAAGACGUGGGGGCGGUGCUUGGGAAGGUGAGCGAGGAGGGAGAGAGGAGUACCAAAGAGGAGGUGACUGCAGCCAGGGCUAAGCAGGACUCUGCAGAGGGAGACCCCUCCACCUGUAAAAACAACAGCUACAAUAACCCCGCCUACUACAUCCUGGAGGGCGUUCCUAACCAAUCAGCUGCCUCCCUGUCCCCAGAGCUCCUCCCCUCCAGCUCCCCCCCGGCCGGUAAGGCACUCCCGCCAGGAGGGGGCAGAGGGAAGCCCCCCUCAGGGUCAUCCCAACCCCGCAGGCACAACACGGCUGGGCACCCUGUUCGGCCCAUCAGUGAGGAAGGGUCCCAAGAGGAUGAUGGGAGUGUGGGGGUGGGGUCAGGGGGAGGGGCAGCCCAUGGGGGAGGAGUGGGAGGCACACUGAACCGUCCUCCUCCUGACUUCCCCCCUCCCCCCCUCCCUAAAGGAGUACUGGAGAUGGCCGACACCUCCUCUAAACCCCGCCCCCUGUACCCCGACCUGGCCGAGCUGAAGAUCCCCGCAGCCAAUCCCACUCCUGCCUUUGUCCUGGGGGAGGGCUUUAGGAGGGGAGCGGGAGGGGCCGGGGGGCUGGACGACCAAUCGUGUUCGGUGCUGCAGAUGGCGAGGACACUGAGUGAGAGCGAGUACCCCCCUCCUCCCCGUGCCCCCUCUGCACCCCCCCACCUCAGAGGCCAGGGGUUGGGGGACGCCUGUCGCACGUUCCCUCCCCGAGCCCCCAUCACAGAGAGCAUCGCUGAAGACCUACCAGAGGAGGCGCUGUGGGGAAGCAGUAGCUCGUCUCUGUCCGUGGGGGAGUCGUCUGUGGGAGAGUGGCUACAGAGUCUGGGCCUGGAGUGCUAUGAGGCGGGGCUGCUACACAACGGCUGGGAUGACCUGGAGUUCCUCAGUGACAUCACAGAGGAGGACCUGGAGGAGGCGGGCGUUCUAGAUCCCGCCCACAAAAGGAUUCUGCUGGAGAGCCUGAGACAGCAGAAGUGAGCUGAACCGCUCUGAACCGGUCCGAACCGAUCCAUACUGGGCCAAACCCAGCUGACCCUAGUGGAGACGGGCUAAUCCAUGCCAGACUUUGCCUUCUGACUAUGAGGACUGGUUUCACCAUCACUGACUUCUGAAGCUUCGGUUUUGACACUGGGAUAGGGUAUAUUUUUACACUUUCCCUCAUUGGUGCUGAGAAUAGCUGGCCACUGUGACUCCCUUUUCUGUGUCUGUGAGAGAGAGUGAGACCAAGAGAGAGAUUAUUUGAAAAGAAGAGGAAGAAAUGUGAGUGCAGGGAAGAGUGAUAUGAUCCCUUAGCAUCCCCCCAAUGCUCAGAGCCAGGGACACAAAACCACAUCCAGGGACACAAAACCACAUCCAGGGACACAAAACCACAUCCAGGGACACAAAACCACAUCCAGGGACACAAAACCACAUCUUGUUAGUUUGAGCAAUGCUUUUAGAUUUAUUUGACAGAAUAUUACAGUAGUGCUAUAACCCUUCACACAGUUGCUAUAAGCCUUCCCUUUGCCCUUAUGUAGACAGGAUGGACCGAUGAGCUGAGACAUGCUCUGUAAUGAACAACGCCUCAAAGCAAUGUGGGAAAAACACUAGACUAGGACUCAUAUUUAUAUUACUAUUUACAAAUCAUGUUCAAUUACAACAUUUUGAUAUCUGUCUAUUUCAAAAGACACUGCUUUUGGUCACAAAAACGUGUUUAUAUUGUUAUUCCAUUAUUUUCUCAUCAAUAAAUAACUGUUCUCCAG
This is an RNA transcript of Salvelinus namaycush (lake trout), 4768 nucleotides long. It is a transcript of the gene named inositol polyphosphate phosphatase-like 1a, with no coding region annotated. NCBI's taxonomy places the organism in Eukaryota, Metazoa, Chordata, Actinopteri, Salmoniformes, Salmonidae. The transcript has 28 exons. The record is from RefSeq and is a predicted model, not a curated record.